GAUGAAGAACGUAGUGAAAUGCGAUAAGUAAUGUGAAUUGCAGAAUUCCGUGAAUCAUCGAAUCUUUGAACGCACAUUGCGCCCCUCGGUAUUCCGGGGGGCAUGCCUGUCCGAGCGUCAUUACAACCCUCAAGCUCAGCUUGGUGUUGGGCCCCGCCGCCCCGGCGGGCCCUAAAGUCAGUGGCGGUGCCGUCCGGCUCCGAGCGUAGUAAUUCUUCUCGCUCUGGAGGUCCGGUCGUGUGCUCGCCAGCAACCCCCAAUUUUUUUCAGGUUGACCUCGGAUCAGGUAGGGAUACCCGCUGAACUUAAGCAUAUCAAUAAGCGGAGGA
This 329-nucleotide unclassified non-coding RNA is filed under the name soil metagenome. RNAcentral's name for it is "partial contains 5.8S ribosomal RNA, internal transcribed spacer 2, and large subunit ribosomal RNA". The stretch from base 1 to 120 matches the Rfam family "5.8S ribosomal RNA", at positions 35 to 154 of the family's 154-position model. The record is from RNAcentral.